GUGACGACCCCGCCGGGCACGAUGCGCUCAAAGGCGGCCAGGUCCUGCUUAGACACCGUGGAGAACGGCAAGCGCCGCACGGGGUAGCGCUCCCGGGUCAGCGGCACCUCGGGGGUCCCCGGGGCGGAGCAGCAGCCUCUGCGGGCCAGGGGGCCAACCGGCCGACCCCAAGAACCCGCGGCUCCCGGAGCACCCCGCAACAGCCACGCGGGCCACGCCAGAGGCCGACGGGGCAGCAUCGCCGCCGGGACGGAGACCUCGGGCUCCUCCUUGGUGGGGGGCCGGUACUCAGGGCCCGGAGGGGAAGGGCAGGGAGCCGCUGGCUGCGCGCCUGGAAGUGGCCAAGGGUAAUUUCAUGUUUUAUGCACGUUGUACAAAUUGAAACACGCUUGCAGAAGCAGGGAGGGGGCAGGAGGGCAGCGAAGGGAAGGCUCCGAGCACCCGGGCCCUCCCCCUGCCCGGGCCGCAACCCCGCGAGCGCGCGAAGCCCCACGCAGCAGGCCUGGACUUAGCGACGCGCAGGCUCGGGGCGGCCUCGCCGGGACCUUGCCCAGGACCCCGUUCCUCCGAGCUCGCCCCCCGAGGGGAUCCCGCGGACGCGCGCGCGUGUUCCACGCGGUCACGUGACGAGCUGCAGCGCCGUCCCCCUCCCCCCACAGGCACCGACUGGCUGACGGCGCCCGAGAUCGCGCCCCGCCACCCCGACCCGCGGCUGAACCGCAGACCGGGACCCUCAGCCCAGCGCUCCGCGCGGCCGCGCGCACGCACCCACGAUCACGUCCCGAGCUC
RNAcentral lists this long non-coding RNA (789 nucleotides) under Homo sapiens (human). Its description in RNAcentral is "non-protein coding lnc-DTYMK-7:7". The record is from RNAcentral. Lineage: Eukaryota; Metazoa; Chordata; Mammalia; Primates; Hominidae.